Long non-coding RNA from Bubalus bubalis (water buffalo), 593 nucleotides. RefSeq lists it as uncharacterized. The transcript is spliced from 3 exons. The record is from RefSeq and is a predicted model, not a curated record. NCBI's taxonomy places the organism in Eukaryota, Metazoa, Chordata, Mammalia, Artiodactyla, Bovidae.
CAUUCAACCUCCCCAGAGGCUGAGAUCCUCAUCCGAACACAGAAAUAGCCUCCACCUGCUGGAGGGGGUGGGGGGAUCUGAUUUUACAUGAGAAAACGUAUAUAAAACACCUGCGUGCACCUAGACCCACAAGCCCUCAGGUGGUAGCAGCAACAGAGAUAAUAGUUAAGAGAGAGCUUCACAAGGUUUUCUUGAAGGACAAGCAAUCAGCAGGGCUGAGACAGGACCUAUAAACGAUGCCAUGGAGAUGAGAGAUGCCCAGCAAAGAACACAGCAGAAUCUGCAUCUCGCAGGCUGCGGUCAAAUAUCUGGACACAAACAGAUUCUAGUGCAUCUGAUGUCAAGAACAAGCAUUAACUAAGAGUAAAAGCAAGUAAGAAAACAUAAAACUUGCAGAAUCCACAUGGCCCAGGAGGGCCCUACUCCGGUUUGCAGGCCCGAUGUUCAACAGCAGCAGUAACGAAGGAAAGAGGAAUCCUUAAAGAUGUGAAUCAGAAUGAGAAGAGGAAGUGAAGAAAGCAAUCAACGAUGGAAAAACUGUAUAUACUGUUCGGACCAACCUCUCAGACUUUUCAUAAGCCUAAUUUUCAAAC